GAGAGUAACACGUGGGAACGUGCCCUUCAGUUCGGAACAACCCAGGGAAACUUGGGCUAAUACCGGAUACGUCCGUAAGGAGAAAGAUUUAUCGCUGAAGGAUCGGCCCGCGUCUGAUUAGCUAGUUGGUGAGGUAACGGCCUACCAAGGCGACGAUCCGUAGCUGGUCUGAGAGGACGACCAGCCACACUGGGACUGAGACACGGCCCAGACUCCUACGGGAGGCAGCAGUGGGGAAUAUUGGACAAUGGGGGCAACCCUGAUCCAGCGACGCCGCGUGUGUGAAGAAGGCCUGCGGGUUGUAAAGCACUUUUAGUGGGGAUGAAAAGCUCAGGGAUAACACCUCUGGGUCUUGACCUAACCCACAGAAAAAGCACCGGCUAACUCUGUGCCAGCAGCCGCGGUAAU
RNAcentral lists this ribosomal RNA (408 nucleotides) under uncultured bacterium. Its description in RNAcentral is "bacterial SSU rRNA". It matches the Rfam family "Bacterial small subunit ribosomal RNA", at positions 106 to 524 of the family's 1533-position model. The record is from RNAcentral.